GGCAUGUAUACCUUGGAGUCUCCACGUACAACUAGCUCACUAAUACCUAGUCUGAUAGGAAGUACUUGGAUCUGCACACAAAAAUGUGCAGAAGUGUAGUAUGAGCACACUACAGCAGUGCCCAGCAAGUGUCAAGCCUAACCUCGGUUGAGUAGUGACGAGGUCAAGUCAGGGCCCUACUGGAAAAAUAAUAAAAGACAAGGCAAUAAGUUCAACAAUAUGAUAAUAGUAAUGACAAAUGGAAACAAGUCACAUAAGGAACAUAUCAAAAUUUAACAACACGGAAUAAGAUCAAUUAAUAAUAACUUACUAAAGAGAAAGCUUUAAUUUAAUAAAUAAAAAUGAUAGAAUAACUAGAAAGUAAAUGCAACCAUAAAGAAAUAUCAACAGGGGAACUUUCGAGGUACCGCCUCGUAGUCCCAAAUCAUAAAUAAAUUCACAACAUCCCAUUUCCUUAUAUCAUCGCGGAAGCCUUCACAUUUAAUUUUUUUAAAAAAAUAUAUUUUUCCGAAAUAGCGUCCCGCGUUUUAGCCACCCUUAUCUCACCGCAUGACUUCUAGUAGUUCCCCUACUAGCCACGCGUAUCAAGCCACCCUUAUCUCACCAUAUGUGUUUCAAUACCCAGACCUUAUAUCGCCGCAUGCGUAUUAAUAUCACAAUUUGUACCUCAAAUGGUCAAAUAUUUCUACUUACCAAAAUAAAUUAACAACAACUAUAUUUUCCACAAUAAGGAGCUAGCGGCUCAAUCACAAUGAAUAUAAAAAUUUCAACAAAUAAUGAUUUCCCAAAUUUAGCACCUUGAUUCCAUACCCAUUUUUAAAAUGCCAAAUACUUCAUAUAAAAAAAUAAUUAAAUUAAGAAAACACAACCUUCAAAUAAUGAGCACAAAUAAAAGAAAUAAAGCUUCAAUUUAACAGAUAGGCAAUUAGCAAGAAAAGGUCAGACAAGUUUCACUUAUAUGAAAAUAAUUUAAUGACAAUGAAUAAAACAUGAAUAAAUGAUUUAAUUAAUAUGCAACAGUGAUCUACACAAAUUAAAAGUAUAACCUUCCACAUUUAGUCUGUGUACGCACUCGUCACCUUAUGUACACGACUUUCAUUUAGCACAUUAAUACCAAUCCUAGGGGAAAGUCCCUCACACAAGGUUAGACAAGUCACUUACCUCAAGUCACGCUAACUCAAUCCACUAGUAGGUCUUUCCCUCGAUUAUCCAACUCUGAACGACUCGAAUCUAGCCAAAAUAAUUUCAUACUAUAAAUACAACUAUAGGAAAUUAAUUUGAACAAUAAAUUUAUGAUCUUUAUGAAGAAAUAAUAAUAAUUCAACCCAAGCCCACGCCUCGGAACCCGACUAAAAAUUUGCAAAAAUUCGAACAUCCAAUUACGUGUUGACUUGCCCCUCCAGUUUCAAUUUACUCCAGGUCAUUUUAAUACCCCAAACAAACCAAGCUCAAGCUCACACUAUUAUGGAUACUAUACUAUAAUAUGCAAAUUAAUAAAGAAACCCAUUUUAACAAACAUGCCAAGCAUCCAAAGUUGAUGACAAUAGCUCUUUAGGAUACCGAGAUACUAAAUUCACUAUUGCUAAGUUCUAGCCUCUAGGACUUAAAGGAAUAAAGAGAAUUCAACUCCAAUAGUAGUCUACAGCCAACUUCACAUCAACUUUAAUAGAUUAGAAAAAAGCAAAAUAGUGAUAAAUUAACUUUACAGCAAAUAUGUUGAAUCCGUUUUACUUGAAGAUUGAAAAAGGACGAUUGAGGAGGACUUUUAGCUCAUAUAAUCCAUGUUCCAACCAAAAAAUAAAAUAAAAUAAGUAAACACAUGGAAAAUAUUAUUUUUUUAAUAGCUUUAAAAUAAUAAAGAAUCGUAUGAAUAUCCACUCCCUAUUUGACUAAAAACCAAACCAAAUGCAAAUCCAGUGCAAAAUAAGUUCACUCAAUCCUAAAAUAAAUCCAUAAAUAAAUAUAUGAGAUGCUGAAAAUAGUGAACAAAAUUCUAAGGAAACUAAACAAAUCUCAACAAUUAUUGUAACUUUAAUCCAUCUUUUAAUGGCUCUCCUGAGACUAGAUUUACUCCAAAUAUGAUUAAAUGAAGAAGAAGAAAAAGGAAUUGAACAUGCUAACCCAAAAUUGUCUUUAACACCAAUAGAAU
This 2149-nucleotide long non-coding RNA is filed under the name Nicotiana tabacum (common tobacco). RNAcentral describes it as "long non-coding RNA (NTAB_LNC016551)". Lineage: Eukaryota; Viridiplantae; Streptophyta; Magnoliopsida; Solanales; Solanaceae. The record is from RNAcentral.